This 211-nucleotide ribosomal RNA is filed under the name uncultured bacterium. RNAcentral's name for it is "partial 16S ribosomal RNA". It matches the Rfam family "Bacterial small subunit ribosomal RNA", at positions 143 to 353 of the family's 1533-position model. The record is from RNAcentral.
AUAGCCUUUCGAAAGAAAGAUUAAUACCCGAUAGCAUAAUGAUUCCGCAUGGUUUCAUUAUUAAAGGAUUCCGGUAAAGGAUGGGGAUGCGUUCCAUUAGGUUGUUGGUGAGGUAACGGCUCACCAAGCCUUCGAUGGAUAGGGGUUCUGAGAGGAAGGUCCCCCACAUUGGAACUGAGACACGGUCCAAACUCCUACGGGAGGCAGCAUG